This 805-nucleotide long non-coding RNA is filed under the name Homo sapiens (human). Its description in RNAcentral is "HSALNT0355441". The record is from RNAcentral. Lineage: Eukaryota; Metazoa; Chordata; Mammalia; Primates; Hominidae.
CUGGAGUUCAACCUGGUCUGGACAGUCUCUGCCCCUGCCCCGGCCGCCCAUUUUUCCCCAGCUGUCCUGGGUCAAGUUGCUGCAGCUGAACUUUGCUUCCUCUUUGGAUCAGAGCGUUCUUGGCCAGCACCCAGCAGCUGAUUCCCCAGGGGAGAGGCCCCGUUCCCGCCAGCCACAUUCCCACGCCGGCCUGGGAGGCUGCCAGAGAGUGGCUGGGUGUCGGGGGCUGCCUCCCAGGGGACCUGCCUCUCACCCUGCCCAGCUCUGAGGACAGCACGAGAUUCCUGCAGAUGGAGCUCCUAACCUGUCGCCCUGCAGGCACUGUGUGUUUGGACAGCUGGAAGCAGAGCUCGGCCUGUGACCUGCCUGGUCCAGCAACUGGACCUUCUGGAGAGUCACAGUGAGACACACAGCCACAUCCUGUAAAUGAAGACCUCGUGGCUCAGAGAGGUCAGUAAGCCAGAGAAAAGAAAAUGCCAUUCGGAAAAUCCUAAGGAAGAGAGGAUGCAUUUCCUCGUCUCCACGUGGAAGCGGAUCACCCUAAAGGUCUUCAUCCUGGUCUUUUUCAUGCUGAGGAGGCUGGGGAGGAGAAGGAAGAGGAGGGGCUGGUCUUGCUGACCCAGGAGCAGCAGAGAAAGGAGAAAAUCCACGUGCAGGGGCUGGCCAGCGCUGGGCUUCUCGGGAAUGGAAUCACACACGGACUGUGGCGUACACAUCACAACUUUAAACCCCGUCCGUACUGAAGCCUGCGUCCGAAUUUCUUCUGUUUUUGUGGCGGAAGGAUAAAUAUUCCAUUGUACAGACG